Molecule: long non-coding RNA, 1864 nt
Filed under: Eptatretus burgeri (inshore hagfish)
Lineage: Eukaryota; Metazoa; Chordata; Myxini; Myxiniformes; Myxinidae
Description: lncRNA (ENSEBUG00000017406.1)
Source: RNAcentral
GGGGGGGGGGGGGGGGGGGGGGGGGGGGGGGGGGGGGGGGGGGGGGGGGGGGGGGGGGGGGGGGGGGGGGGGGGGGGGGGGGGGACAUCCUACCACGACACUACAGGUUGGACUCGGGUUGUAUGGGGAAGAUUUUAGCUUGUAUUAAAAAAAAUAAUAAUUAAUACUUCCAGAAGUCAGAACAUGAGAGAACUGAAUCACUGGACAAAAUGAGUUGAAAACUGGUGGCUGUCCUCAUGGGGUGCACGGUGAGGUUUUAUGUGGUGGAAAAAAAAUCCUUGUCCUCAAGGUUCAGGGUGGGGGGAGAACCCAAAUUUUCUCUAUAAAUGUGUAUUGUGUCGCGCAAUGUGGUGGAAGCCGGCAUUACAAGUCAGAAUGAAACACCAUAGAUAUCAUAAAAAUGGGGAAGUUAACCCAUCUAUGAUCCUUGGGGAAUUAUCCCAUCCAUAAUUCUCAGGAAAUAAUUAUUUGCCUAUAAUGAACAAAUGACAACAUACUGAAUGACAACCAUCUGUUACUUUUCUGGAAUUGCAUGCAAACAGAACUGGCAUUUGUGUUCCAUUUAUAUCCAGGCCUGAUUAGUGUUAUUUUAAAGUCCUUGUUUCUUGGACAGAUGCAGUAUGGAAGACCUGAAGGCUAUAAGGCCACAGGAGAAAGGACAAACACAGAAAGAGACAGGAAACUACAUAUGUGGAAAGAGCAAGUAACAUCAAAAGCAGUGGACGUGCACACAGGGUUGAAACGGAAUGAAUCCAAGGCUCUUGCUCCAUCAGGGCACGUCACAGUACCAGCACCACAGAUACAUGUGCCACAGGGCGUUCUACACAGCCACUAUGAAGAGCAGCUGGAACAGCAGCAGCUGGCCUACCAGCAUGAGGCUGAGGCUGCCCAGCUUCGCAAGCAGCAGGACCAGCGUUAUUGGCAGCAGUUCACACUUCAACGCAAGGCCGACACAUAUAGAUCACAUGAACAGAAAGGACAAUUGGAGCAACAGAAUCUGGUCCCGCAGAAUGAGAUUUCCUGGCAGCAGCAGCAGCAGCAGCAGCAGUUGCAGCACUGGCAGCAAAAAUCAACAACUAAAGCAGUCUAUUUGGACAACAGACCACAUGUAGCCCAAAUAAAGUACGUAUUCCAAAAACGUUGGAAAAUAGAAACACAGAGGUCAGAUAAAAUAUAACAAUGGAGGUUGGAAAACAAAUCUACCUUCUAAUUUUAUCUUUUAUUUUGCUUUCCUUUGAGUUUUUUUGUACACCGCGCCUUCCCAAUUCCACAUCCAGGCGAUGCAUGACGCCAUCAACAGGCGCCGAAGGAAGGGAGUACUCAGUUUUCGCUCCAUUUUCUUGUUUGUUACUUGCAAAAUUGAAGAAUUUUCAAGUAUAUUGGUCAGUCGAUUUUGUUAUUCUGUCUCUUUGAUUGUUUGUCUGUCUGUUUAUCACCUAUAGGUCACAAUUUUAAACCGAUCUUUACGAAUCUUCACCACAUGGAAGUUUGUCAUAAGGGAGAAGCCUAUUGUUUUUGAGUUCAAAUGGUCAAAAGGUCAACAUCGACCAAAGGUCAACAACUUCGGUGAGAUUUCUAAAAUCCUCAAUUUUCAUCCGAUUGACUUGAAAUUUGAGGAGGAUUUACAUUUCAGGGCACUGAAUUCAACUAGCCAAUUAUUUUUGAGGUCAACAUGGACAAAAAGGUCAACAUAGGCCCAAGGUCAACAACUAAGGUGGUAUUUUUAAAAUCCUCAAUUUUCACCUGAUUCACUUGAAGUUUCAAGAGGAGUUGCAAAUUUGGUCAUUGAAUUCAACCACAAAUUAUUUUUGAGGUCAAAUUUGUUUGAUGGAUUUUGCAAGUACGUAUCAUGCGCUGCACGACG